RNAcentral lists this ribosomal RNA (347 nucleotides) under uncultured bacterium. RNAcentral describes it as "bacterial SSU rRNA". It matches the Rfam family "Bacterial small subunit ribosomal RNA", at positions 1034 to 1382 of the family's 1533-position model. The record is from RNAcentral.
CAAGGUGCUGCAUGGUUGUCGUCAGCUCGUGCCGUGAGGUGUCGGGUUAAGUCCCAUAACGAGCGCAACCCCUAUCUUUAGUUGCCAUCAGUUCGGCUGGGCACUCUAUGGAGACUGCCACCUAAAGUGGAGGAAGGUGGGGAUGACGUCAAGUCAGCAUGGCCCUUACGUCCGGGGCUACACACGUGCUACAAUGGCCGGUACAAAGGGUUGCGAAGCCGUGAGGUGGAGCGAAUCUCAAAAAGCCGGCCUCAGUUCGGAUUGGAGGCUGCAACUCGCCUCCAUGAAGUCGGAAUCGCUAGUAACCGCAGAUCAGCUACGUUGCGGUGAAUACGUUCCCGGGCCUU